CCUGCCCCAGCAGUACCGCCGAAGCUGCCCCCCGCGUCUUGGUUACGCAUCUGCGAUCGGUCUGCCCACGUGGGUGUUGUGUGUCCUUGUGCGCGCGUGCGAGGAGCCCUCGACGAUCCGCGCCCUUCGGGGCGAUGAGACGCGAGAAGUCUUCUCGUCGACGCCACGGGAGACCGCCUGCAGCAGCAGCAGCCGCCGCCACCCCCCCCCCCCUCACGGACGACGCGGGCCCCCCACGGACAACGCGGGCCCCCCACUGACAACGCGGUUUUGGCGCAAGCGUGGGACAUGAGGAGGAGUCGCAGUCUCUCAUUGGUGGCUCCUGACUUCGCGAUGACUCUGGGAGAGAAGGGACGAGGUCAGAAUUCUGUGCUCACCAAGUCGCUCACCGGGACUCACCGGGGACUCGCCGGGGACUCGCCGGGGACUCACCGAGCGAGGACCGAGGGCCCACGGAGGUUUCCCAGAGAUGUCAAAUCCGCCGGCUGCCGCCACGCCGGUGACUCCACGUCUCGUCUGACGGCAAGCGCGGCCGCUGAUACCGACCAGGCCACAGCACCGCAUGGCCACGACCACCACCAUCUACUUUUUUUUUUUACGAUCAGUGGAAACAAGAAGAUGCUCGGUGUAUUCGGCGCUUUGCUUCGUUCAUCAUUUCGUAUUUAUUUUUUAAAAAUAACUUUGCUUUAUGAAAACCCCCCACCUACUAACUCGACCCUACUAACGGUGCAGCCUUCGUUGGCGAAGUGGUUUCCGACUCUCCUUACGCCAACAACAGAGUAUCGUCAGCAAUUGAUUUCUCUUAUUUUGUCAUCGUAAUCAUCUUCAUUAGCCCUUGAUUUCUCCAUGGAAUAUUUUUUGUCUGGAUCUCCUCCCAUCGCCCCCGCCCCCCAUCGCCCCCCCCCCCCCCGCAUCGCCCC
Molecule: long non-coding RNA, 920 nt
Organism: Lethenteron reissneri (Far Eastern brook lamprey)
Lineage: Eukaryota; Metazoa; Chordata; Hyperoartia; Petromyzontiformes; Petromyzontidae
Source: RefSeq, a predicted model, not a curated record